Molecule: long non-coding RNA, 494 nt
Organism: Humulus lupulus (European hop)
Lineage: Eukaryota; Viridiplantae; Streptophyta; Magnoliopsida; Rosales; Cannabaceae
Exons: 2
Source: RefSeq, a predicted model, not a curated record
CCAAUGCCCUUCAUCCUCAUCCCUGGCUAGAUCUACAUUCGCCUUAGCGCCUUUGUCUCAAACCCAGACCCAAUAUCUGGUGCAAGUCGUCGCACGACAUCUCAGCUAGCCUCAUUUCUUGCUUUGGGUGGAUCUGAUUAAAUAUCUUAGUCACGAGGAUGACAACAUCUAUGCAAUGAAAUUAGGCGAUAGAUCCAUUGGGUUUGGUUGGGGACAGAUCUGGGGUCAAAACUGUUUUUUUUUAUAUAAAAAAUUGGACAUUUUGGUAGCUAUAACUAUUUGUUGAUUAUUGAGUUAGAGUUUAGAUGAAAGGAUUGAAUUUUCAUUUUUGUGACUUCUGGGUAUAAAUGUGGAUUGUUUCAGUAUGUUCAUGAAGAUAUUGAUGAACAAAAAUAUUCAUCAUUUUUGUCGAUACAAAUCUGUGUUUAUUUUUGUUGUAAGUUUGAUUGGUGGAUGAUAAAAAUUUGGGUUUAAUCUUAUUUAGAUUUUGCUUA